GGCCGCGGGAAUUCGAUUCAGGCCUAACACAUGCAAGUCGAACGGCAGCACGGAGCUUGCUCUGGUGGCGAGAAAAGAACGGGUGAGUAAUAUAUCGGAAGGUACCCUGGAGUGGGGGAU
Molecule: ribosomal RNA, 120 nt
Filed under: uncultured bacterium
Lineage: Bacteria
Description: partial 16S ribosomal RNA
Source: RNAcentral